Long non-coding RNA from Aphis gossypii (cotton aphid), 709 nucleotides. RefSeq lists it as uncharacterized. The record is from RefSeq and is a predicted model, not a curated record. The transcript is spliced from 3 exons. Lineage: Eukaryota; Metazoa; Arthropoda; Insecta; Hemiptera; Aphididae.
AUAACGUUGAGUAAAAAUAACCAAUAGUUAAUUAUUCAAACUAAAAAGAUAUUCUCAAUGGUAUUCCCAAAUUCAAUUUUGAGAAUUUAUCAAGAACACAGUUGAUAUUCAGUAACGUAGAGUAGGUUCGAAAUUGGGGAGGAAUUUUAAAGAAUGUUUCAUUUUUGUGAUCGUGGUACGAAGAAUUUCAGUCACGCAAAUAUUUUAAAAUAAAAUCAUACAACCACAAAUAUGAUCAAUUUAUACAUUAUUAUAUUAUAUAAUAUAAAGCAUAGUCAAUUAUGAUAGGUGUGAAAAACGGUUACCACGUAGAAUAUAAUAUUGGCUCGUUCGGGUUGUGCCUUUGAAUAUUUGGAACUUGCUGCUGCCACCUCACAUUAUAUGUCAGGAUUGAAGAGGUUAUAUACGUGACGUGCUUGUUAAACGUGAUCGGCUCUGGAAUUUACACAUUCGUCCUGUGUGCAAGAUGAAGUGUAUAAUCCGAUUUUCACCCGAUGUUGCUUGUAUAAAUUGCAACCAAAACUUCCCCUAUACCUCUAUUCAGAAACGCUGAAGAGUUGACAAUUUUGUAAACUCACUAGUGCAUCAAGGAUAGACAACGGGUGAGUACAGAAUUAUUCAAAUAUCAAGAUACCUUGUUAAAAAUAGUAAGAUAUUUAUGAUAAUAUAAUAGAGUUAGUGGAUACUAUUGCAAAAAAAAUAUUUUUGU